UACGAAGGGGGCUAGCGUUGCUCGGAAUUAUUGGGCGUAAAGAGCUCGUAGGCGGUUCGUCGCGUCGGCUGUGAAAACCUGAGGCUCAACCUCAGGCCUGCAGUCGAUACGGGCGGACUUGAGUACUGCAGGGGAGACUGGAAUUCCUGGUGUAGCGGUGAAAUGCGCAGAUAUCAGGAGGAACACCGGUGGCGAAGGCGGGUCUCUGGGCAGUAACUGACGCUGAGGAGCGAAAGCGUGGGGAGCGAACAGG
Molecule: ribosomal RNA, 253 nt
Filed under: uncultured bacterium
Lineage: Bacteria
Description: partial 16S ribosomal RNA
Rfam family: Bacterial small subunit ribosomal RNA
Source: RNAcentral